This is a long non-coding RNA of Puntigrus tetrazona (Sumatra barb), 2100 nucleotides long. RefSeq lists it as uncharacterized. The transcript has 4 exons. The record is from RefSeq and is a predicted model, not a curated record. Lineage: Eukaryota; Metazoa; Chordata; Actinopteri; Cypriniformes; Cyprinidae.
CGGCGUUAUUUUCAGAUAACAGGGUGACCUGACAUUAGGUCUGCACUGGUCUUUGCAUCUUUAUCAGCUGUGUGGAGAGUUAAUUGUGUAGUCUGAGUGUUGGACACCGAGGCACAGUGGUGCUGUUGAGAUGAUUUGACGAAGCAUUCAUACCUGAGAUUUGUUGUUUGAAUUUGGAUCGACUGUUUCCAGCUCUGAAAGACGUUAUAAGGGAGAGCAGGCACGCCUGAAAAAAGGAGAGCGGUGCGGGACUCUCCGGGGAAGGGGUUCUCUCCGAGUCUGCAAAGUCAUCGUCCGGUGGAUAAAAGGAGUCAUCUGAGGCGAUGCUCCUGGUGUCUGGCAGGUCUGAGAAGUCGUCCAACUCCUCGAAGUCCUCGUCCAACUCGACCGAGCCGAGCACUGUUCCGGACAACCUAGAUUGGAGAUUCAAGGAUUUAUUUGGGUUACAUUUUCAAAUCACAUCACAAGAUAAGGAUAAAGAUGGCAAACACAAGACACGGUAACAAGGAACAAUAGUUUUUAAAUAUGUUGAGAUAUCACCACCUUGAGGACCAUUUGUACUGGAUUUUACUCGGGCUUCUCUGCACUGCAGAGGCUUGUAAAAUUUGAAGGUUGCACCAUUCCUCCUUGACAUUCUCUGAAAACAGGAAAAAACAAAGUUUCCAAUUAAGCGUCUACAAAUGUGUAACGUUUUUUUUGUUUGUUUGUUUUUAUCAUGACAGGAGAUGUUCUCUUUUACCUUCAUUAGCUUUAGGCUGGUCAUCAUUAGUCUAAACCACGUGCUGGUGACAUUUCGUUAUUCUUGCUUCUGUGUCUGUAAUACUGACACACUAACAUGCUUCCCAAACACUGUGUAUUUACAGGAACAGACUGAGAUACUGUUUCUAGGGGCACUAAUUCACAUUAGAGAAUUGUUUCAUCUCCUUGAAGAUCUGAGCUUCUUUAUGUAUAGAGAAGCAUAAACAUUUACUUUGCUUCUAUGUUUGUUGAGAGUUAAAAAGGGCCACCUUUUGUAUGUAUUACAAAAAAAAAAAAAUUUUUUAUAUUAUGUUUUAAAUGAGUUACUUUUGAUACUUUCAGACUAUCUAGUACACUGCUAGAACUGUGAAAAUCCAUGUCCAUUUUAUCCAUUUUUAGUUCAGUUAAAUACCUUAAAUUACAAGUGUCAGUUGUUGUUGUUGUUUUUUUUUUCAUUUGAUCCUUUAAAAGUGCUAGCAUCGACUUUCCUUACAAGCAGAACUGGUACAAAGCAGUUUCUGAUGUAUUGUCUUAAUGCCAAUUCAAUAGACUAAAAUAAUAUUUACUUAAAAGUUGUAAUAGUUACAAAGAUGUUGAUUUAUAACAUGUCAUACCAUUUGAAUCUGAAUCUGAUACAGCCAAAUAUAUAACUAUACUGUACGUAGACUGUUGACCAGUAUAAUUAUGAAGAUUAAUUGCCGGUCAUUAUAACAUGAUUUAUUCACCAUUUGUUAUAAAUGCCUUGUUGUUAAGUCUUAAUAGUGAAAUAAAGUGCUGAGCUUUUGAAUUGAGUUAAAAAUGUCUUAAACACAUGGGAUGAAAUAUUAUAUAUUUUAUAAUAUAAUAUAUUUUUUGAGUGCAACUCAGACAAUUGCUUGUUGGUACGCUGGUAAUGUAUGACAACAAAAACACAUCAAAAUGUAAGAAAACCAGCCACAGGACAAAACUUCUUUCAAGUGCAAUGAUAAUUUCUGGUAUUGUUUCUGCAGUUAUAGACUGAAAAUAGUAGUUCCGAUUUUUGUCUUUUAUUAGGCAAUUGAAAAACGACAUAAUCUUAUUGCAUUGUGUGAUGUUUUAAGGCACACGUAUAUGUACCUUUUCAAUUAUUUCAACAAUUGUUCUGAAUAUAGAGCAGGUUUUUUAUUUGGUUAAGAAAGAAACAACAAGGCUUUUUAAUUUCACAGGUGUAAAUUGUAACAAAAAGACUUGAAGGUGCCUCAAGCAACAAGUGUCAAAGCAAUUAAUUUUAUUCCUUAUCACUUGUCCUCCUAAAAGACCUCUCUGCCAACAAAAGUAAAACAGAAAAGAAACUGUCACCCUCAAAAAUGUGUCUAAUUCGUUUAAUAAAGCCUCUUAUUGCCA